AGAUUGAACGCUGGCGGCAUGCCUAACACAUGCAAGUCGAACGGUAACAGGUCUUCGGAUGCUGACGAGUGGCGGACGGGUGAGUAAUGCGUAGGAAUCUGUCUUUUAGUGGGGGACAACCCAGGGAAACUUGGGCUAAUACCGCAUGAGCCCUGAGGGGGGAAAAGCGGGGGGAUCUUCGGACCUCGCGCUAAGAGAGGAGCCUACGUCCGAUUAGCUAGUUGCGGGGUAAAGGCCCACCAAGGCGACGAUCGGUAGCUGGUCUGANAGGACGACCAGCCACACUGGGACUGAGCAGGCCCAGACUCCUACGGGAGGCAGC
RNAcentral lists this ribosomal RNA (322 nucleotides) under uncultured prokaryote. RNAcentral's name for it is "bacterial SSU rRNA". It matches the Rfam family "Bacterial small subunit ribosomal RNA", at positions 26 to 352 of the family's 1533-position model. The record is from RNAcentral.